GCUUGGUUUUGGUUUGCUCAUUUUUUUUUAUUCUUCUUCUUUUUACCAAGCUUUUUGUUAGUGUAAAAUGAGUAAAAAAG
RNAcentral lists this non-coding RNA (80 nucleotides) under uncultured eukaryote. The record is from RNAcentral.